This 74-nucleotide transfer RNA is filed under the name Mucilaginibacter polytrichastri. It matches the Rfam family "tRNA". Rfam says of the family: Transfer RNA (tRNA) molecules are approximately 80 nucleotides in length. Their secondary structure includes four short double-helical elements and three loops (D, anti-codon, and T loops). Further hydrogen bonds mediate the characteristic L-shaped molecular structure. tRNAs have two regions of fundamental functional importance: the anti-codon, which is responsible for specific mRNA codon recognition, and the 3' end, to which the tRNAs corresponding amino acid is attached (by aminoacyl-tRNA synthetases). tRNAs cope with the degeneracy of the genetic code in two manners: having more than one tRNA (with a specific anti-codon) for a particular amino acid; and 'wobble' base-pairing, i.e. permitting non-standard base-pairing at the 3rd anti-codon position. Lineage: Bacteria; Pseudomonadati; Bacteroidota; Sphingobacteriia; Sphingobacteriales; Sphingobacteriaceae. The record is from Rfam by way of RNAcentral.
GGUCUCAUAGCUCAGUUGGAUAGAGCAACUGCCUUCUAAGCAGUAGGUCAUUGGUUCGAAUCCAAUUGAGAUCA